This 750-nucleotide ribosomal RNA is filed under the name uncultured organism. RNAcentral's name for it is "bacterial SSU rRNA". It matches the Rfam family "Bacterial small subunit ribosomal RNA", at positions 731 to 1467 of the family's 1533-position model. The record is from RNAcentral.
GGACAGAUCCUGACGCUGAGGCACGAAGUCUGGGGGAGCGAACAGGAUUAGAUACCCUGGUAGUCCCAGCAGUAAACGAUGUGAGCUUGAUGUGGGGGGAUUCGACCCCUUCCGUGUCGAAGCUUAACGCGAUAAGCUCACCGCCUGAGGAGUACGGCCGCAAGGCUUAAAACUCAAAGAAAUUGACGGGGACCCGCACAAGCGGUGGAGUAUGUGGCUUAAUUCGAUGCAACGCGAAGAACCUUACCUGGCCUUGACAUGCAUUGUGUCGUCGGUGAAAGCCGGCUAGUCCUGGAAACAGGACGCUUUGCACAGGUGCUGCAUGGCUGUCGUCAGCUCGUGUCGUGAGAUGUUGGGUUAAGUCCCGCAACGAGCGCAACCAUUGUGGUCAGUUACUAACCGGCUUAGCCGGAGGACUCUGGCCAGACUGCCCUGUCAAACGGGGAGGAAGGUGGGGACGACGUCAAGUCAGUAUGGCCCUUAUGGCCAGGGCUGCACACGUACUACAAUGCCCGGUACAAUGUGAACCGAAACCGCGAGGUGGAGGAAAUCGCUCUUGAAAACCGGGCCCAGUUCGGAUUGGAGUCUGCAACUCGACUCCAUGAAGUCGGAAUCGCUAGUAAUGGCGUAUCAGCAACGACGCCGUGAAUACGUUCCCGGGUCUGUACACACCGCCCGUCACAUCAUGGAAGUCUCCUGUACCCGAAGCACGUGCGCCAACAUUUCAGGAGGCAGCGUUCGAAGGUAUGG